UGACGUCAAGUCCUCAUGGCCCUUAUAGGUGGGGCUACACACGUCAUACAAUGGAUGGUACAAAGGGUCGCCAACCCGCGAGGGGGAGCCAAUCCCAUAAAGCCAUUCGUAGUCCGGAUCGCAGUCUGCAACUCGACUGCGUGAAGUCGGAAUCGCUAGUAAUCGUGGAUCAGCAUGCCGCGGUGAAUACGUUCCCGGGCCUU
RNAcentral lists this ribosomal RNA (203 nucleotides) under uncultured Acidovorax sp. RNAcentral describes it as "partial 16S ribosomal RNA". It matches the Rfam family "Bacterial small subunit ribosomal RNA", at positions 1180 to 1382 of the family's 1533-position model. Lineage: Bacteria; Pseudomonadati; Pseudomonadota; Betaproteobacteria; Burkholderiales; Comamonadaceae. The record is from RNAcentral.